RNAcentral lists this unclassified non-coding RNA (378 nucleotides) under uncultured Spongiibacteraceae bacterium. Its description in RNAcentral is "contains 16S-23S intergenic spacer region". Lineage: Bacteria; Pseudomonadati; Pseudomonadota; Gammaproteobacteria; Cellvibrionales; Spongiibacteraceae. The record is from RNAcentral.
UCCGGUUUGUCACCGGCAGUCUCCUUAGAGUUCUCAGCUUAACCUGCUAGCAACUAAGGACAAGGGUUGCGCUCGUUACGGGACUUAACCCAACAUCUCACGACACGAGCUGACGACAGCCAUGCAGCACCUGUCUCUGCGCUCCCGAAGGCACCAAUCUAUCUCUAGAAAGUUCGCAGGAUGUCAAGGCCAGGUAAGGUUCUUCGCGUUGCGUCGAAUUAAACCACAUGCUCCACCGCUUGUGCGGGCCCCCGUCAAUUCAUUUGAGUUUUAACCUUGCGGCCGUACUCCCCAGGCGGUCUACUUAUCGCGUUAGCUUCGCCACUAAAGAUUCUAGAUCUCCAACGGCUAGUAGACAUCGUUUACGGCGUGGACUAC